CCUACGGGAGGCAGCAGUAAGGAAUAUUGGACAAUGGGCGCAAGCCUGAUCCAGCCAUGCCGCGUGCAGGAAGACGGCCCUAUGGGUUGUAAACUGCUUUUAUACGGGAAGAAACCCCACUACGUGUAGUGGGCUGACGGUACUGUAAGAAUAAGGAUCGGCUAACUCCGUGCCAGCAGCCGCGGUAAUACGGAGGAUCCAAGCGUUAUCCGGAUUUAUUGGGUUUAAAGGGUGCGUAGGCGGUUUUGUAAGUCAGUGGUGAAAGUUUUCAGCUUAACUGAAAAUUGCCAUUGAUACUGCAGGACUUGAGUACAGAUGAGGUAGGCGGAAUGUGACAAGUAGCGGUGAAACGCAUAGAUAUGUCACAGAACACCGAUUGCGAAGGCAGCUUACUAAAGUGUAACUGACGCUGAGGCACGAAAGCGUGGGGAUCAAACAGGAUUAGAUACCCUGGUAGUCCACGCCCUAAACGAUGAUUACUCGAUGUGUGCGAUAACAAGUACGACGUCCGACGACGAAGACGUUAACGUUAAGUACCGACCGUCGGGUAGGUACGGUCGGCGAAGAGUUAGUUAAACGUUAAAGUUAAGUUAAGUUAGUACGGCGUUGAGACGUUGCCGACGGACGACCGACGAGGGGAGGUUAGG
Molecule: ribosomal RNA, 647 nt
Filed under: uncultured bacterium
Lineage: Bacteria
Description: bacterial SSU rRNA
Rfam family: Bacterial small subunit ribosomal RNA (bases 1-542)
Source: RNAcentral